GUCAGAGCAUCUUUAUUACAUUGACAAUGGGGUCUGUUGUUGGUGUUCCAUCCAGAUGUAGUAGAAUGUGUUGUUCUGGAGGUGUUAACCAUAGAAAUAGAAUUACCAGAAAAUAAAUCCCCAUUCAAGUCAAUGAUCCAUGAUGGGUGUCUGAGGGGAUUUAGCCAUUCUAGAAAGAACAGGAGGAUGGUAUGCACAUCUUAAACUAGAGUUAACCAGA
Salvelinus sp. IW2-2015 is the source of this 220-nucleotide non-coding RNA. Lineage: Eukaryota; Metazoa; Chordata; Actinopteri; Salmoniformes; Salmonidae. The record is from RefSeq and is a predicted model, not a curated record.